Molecule: transfer RNA, 77 nt
Filed under: bacterium
Lineage: Bacteria
Also listed under: 12 other names
Description: tRNA-Glu
Rfam family: tRNA
About the family: Transfer RNA (tRNA) molecules are approximately 80 nucleotides in length.
Source: RNAcentral
GGCGCGUUCGUCUAGAGGCCCAGGACGCCGCCCUUUCAAGGCGGAGAUCAGGGGUUCGAAUCCCCUACGCGCUACCA